Molecule: ribosomal RNA, 239 nt
Filed under: Candidatus Enterocloster excrementipullorum
Lineage: Bacteria; Bacillati; Bacillota; Clostridia; Lachnospirales; Lachnospiraceae
Description: partial 23S ribosomal RNA
Rfam family: Bacterial large subunit ribosomal RNA
Source: RNAcentral
AGAGGACCGGGACGGACGGGCCGCUGGUGGACCUGUUGGGGACCAACCCCAUGGCAGGGUAGCCAAGCCCGGAGGGGAUAAACGCUGAAGGCAUCUAAGCGUGAAGCCGCCCCCGAGAUGAGAUAUCCCAUUCCGUGAGGAAGUAAGACCCCUUAGAGAGUAUGAGGUAGAUAGGUUAGAGGUGGAAGCGCAGUAAUGUGUGUAGCUGACUAAUACUAAUCGGUCGAGGGCUUGACCAA